UACAUGCUCCCCACGUAGGAUCUCUGUCCUUAAUGUGUUUUACUAUGAAACUUAAAAACAACACUACUAGUCGAACAAUAUCCUAUACCUUGUGCAGUUGUGUGAGUACAGCCUGUUGAAAUCCUUGCUUAGUAUAUACUAAGUUGAUCUUCAGUAUAUGAAGGGUGUCAACAGAGUCCUUGGAAGCCAAUGCUGAGCCAAUGCAGUGAAGCGGUCUUUGUCGCACAUCAGAAUCCUGGGUUUGAGCCCUGGCUCUGGCUCCUAACUACAACUUACUACAAAUGCAGAACCAGAGAGGCAGUGGUGAUGGCCCAAGAAAAUUAGGCUCCUGCCACCAAUGUGAGAGCCUCUUGGAUUGAGUCCUAGAUCCUAGCUUUGACCUCAGCUUAGCCUCAAUCAUUGCAGGUAUUUGGGGAGUGAAUCAGCACAGGAGAGCUCUGUCUCUCUUUCUAUCCCUCAAAUUAAAAACAGUGGAGAUGGGCUCCCCAUUAACAGUGACUGUGAAGAUCUCACUAAUCUAGUGGAACAGGGGCACCACAAUGAAGGCUGCUGAAUAUGCAUUGGUUGUUCAUACAGCAAUGGCCACCAACGUGGAAAAGAAAGUUUUGAAGGAGAGACACAGAAACCAAUUUCAGUGAGAAGUCCUGUCAAUGAGGCCAUGUCCAUUUCUGGCAUUUGCCAAGUUCAGUUCUGCCCACCUCUUGGCCUUUCCUUUCAGCAUUCACCCUGUUCCGCACCCCCAUCUCAACAGUUCCCUAAAUUCCUUGCACCAAAAGAAAGCAGAUAUGCAAGGUCAGAGGGUGAAGAACCUACAAGCAUCAACCUGAGUGGGAGAAUUUCAUGGCACCUGAAUGAAGGACAUACUUGGAGUUUUGGGGGCUUCUCCCACCCCUGGGGGAGGCCAGAGAUGAUGAAGAUUCCUCCAACCCAGACCUUAGAGCCCUCACUGUGUAGUCUGUUUGGCAAUCAUCAAUACAACACAAGGUACUUUCCCAAACAGCAUUGAUUACCUGAGAAAACUGUUUCCAAGCACUUGAUGAAGUCAGCUUGCCCGUUCCCGGCCGAUGCAUGGCAGCCAGGGUAUAAAUUUCUG
Molecule: non-coding RNA, 1093 nt
Organism: Oryctolagus cuniculus (rabbit)
Lineage: Eukaryota; Metazoa; Chordata; Mammalia; Lagomorpha; Leporidae
Source: RefSeq, a predicted model, not a curated record